This 81-nucleotide transfer RNA is filed under the name Salmonella enterica subsp. enterica serovar Weltevreden str. HI_N05-537. RNAcentral's name for it is "tRNA-Gly". It matches the Rfam family "tRNA". From Rfam's summary of the family: Transfer RNA (tRNA) molecules are approximately 80 nucleotides in length. The record is from RNAcentral. Lineage: Bacteria; Pseudomonadati; Pseudomonadota; Gammaproteobacteria; Enterobacterales; Enterobacteriaceae.
GCGGGGAAUAGCUCAGGUUGGUAGAGCACGACCUUGCCAAGGUCGGGGUCGGCGAGGUUCGAGUCCUCGUUUCCCGCUCCA